AGUGAACGCUGGCGGCGUGCCUAACACAUGCAAGUCGAGCGGAGUUUUAUAUGAUUCUAUAUAAGGCUAAGCGGCAAACGGGUGAGUAACACGUAGAAAACCUACUUCAAAAUGGGGAAUACCUUUGAGAAAUUAGAGUUAAUACCGCAUGAUACCAUAAUGUGGCAUCAUAUUAUGGUUAAAGCAACUUGUUGCGUUUUGAGAUGGUUCUGCGGCCUAUCAGCUAGUUGGUAAGGUAAAGGCUUACCAAGGCUAUGACGGGUAUCUGGCCUGAAAGGGUGAACAGACACACUGGAACUGAGACACGGUCCAGACUUCUACGGAAGGCAGCAGUGGGGAAUUUUGGACAAUGGGGGAAACCCUGAUCCAGCGACGCCGCGUGGAGGAUGAAGGCCUUCGGGUUGUAAACUCCUUUUAGAGAGGAAGACAAAUGACGGUACUCUCAGAAAAAGCCACGGCUAACUACGUGCCAGCAGCCGCGGUAAUACGUAGGUGGCGAGCGUUACUCGGAAUUACUAGGCGUAAAGUGUAUGUAGGCUGUUAAAUAAGUCUUUAGUGAAAGGUUCUGGCUUAACCAGAAAUAAUCUGAGGAUACUGUUUAACUUGAGUUUGAGAGAGGGAAAUGGAAUUCCUGGUGUAGCGGUGGAAUGUGUAGAUAUCAGGAGGAACACCAAUGGCGAAAGCAAUUUCCUGGUUCAUUACUGACGCUGAAAUACGAAAGCUAGGGAGCAAACAGGAUUAGAUACCCUGGUAGUCCUAGCUGUAAACGAUGUUCACUAGAUGUAGGAGGUAUCGACCCCUUCUAUAUCGUAGCUAACGCAUUAAGUGAACCGCCUGGGGAGUACGACCGCAAGGUUGAAACUCAAAGGAAUUGACGGGGGCCCGCACAAGCGGUGGAGUAUGUGGUUUAAUUCGACGCAACGCGAAGAACCUUACCUGGGCUUGAACUGCUAAUGGUAAAAGUCAGAAAUGAUAAUGACCCGCAAGGGAGUUAGUAGAGGUGCUGCAUGGUUGUCGUUAGCUCGUGUCGUGAGAUGUUGGGUUAAGUCCCGCAACGAGCGUAACCCUUAUCCUAUGUUACUUGUAUUAUUUUUAAUUAAUUAAUACAAGGUCUCUUAGGAAACUGCCAUUGAUAAAAUGGAGGAAGGUGAGGAUAACGUCAAAUCAUCAUGGCCCUUAUGUCCAGGGCUACACACGUACUACAAUGGUCGGUACAGAAGGUUGCAAUAUCGUAAGAUGGAGCUAAUCCUUAAAACCGAUCUCAGUUCGGAUUGUGGGCUGCAAUUCGCCCACAUGAAGUAGGAAUCGCUAGUAAUCGCAGAUCAGCAGGCUGCGGUGAAUACGUUCCCGGGCCUUGUACACACCGCCCGUCACACCACGAAAGUCAGCUGUAACAG
Molecule: ribosomal RNA, 1397 nt
Filed under: uncultured Elusimicrobia bacterium
Lineage: Bacteria; Pseudomonadati; Elusimicrobiota; Elusimicrobia
Description: bacterial SSU rRNA
Rfam family: Bacterial small subunit ribosomal RNA
Source: RNAcentral